Molecule: ribosomal RNA, 252 nt
Filed under: uncultured bacterium
Lineage: Bacteria
Also listed under: 1 other name
Description: partial 16S ribosomal RNA
Rfam family: Bacterial small subunit ribosomal RNA
Source: RNAcentral
UACGAAGGGGACUAGCGUUGUUCGGAAUCACUGGGCGUAAAGCGCACGUAGGCGGAUAUGUCAGUCAGGGGUGAAAUCCCGGGGCUCAACCUCGGAACUGCCUUUGAUACAGCAUAUCUUGAGUCCGAUAGAGGUGGGUGGAAUUCCUAGUGUAGAGGUGAAAUUCGUAGAUAUUAGGAAGAACACCGGUGGCGAAGGCGGCCCACUGGAUCGGUACUGACGCUGAGGUGCGAAAGCGUGGGAGCAAACAGG